UGUCGAGCGCCCCGCAAGGGGAGCGGCCGACGGGUGAGUAACGCGUGGGAAUCUACCUUCCCUACGGAAUAGCUCCGGGAAACUGGAAUUACUACCGUAUACGCCCUUCGGGGGAAAGAUUUACCGGGGAUGGAUGACCCCGCGUUGGAUUACCUAGUUGGUGGGGUAAAGGCCUACCUGGCGACGAUCCAUAGCUGGUCUGAGAGGAUGAUCAUCUGCAUUGGGACUGACACACGGCCCACACUCCUACGGUAGGCACCCGUGGGGAAUAUUGCACAAUGGGCGCAAGCCUGAUCCAGCCAUGCCGCGUGAGUGAUGAAGGCCCUAGGGUUGUAAAGCUCUUUCACCGGUGAAGAUAAAGACGGUAGCCGGAGAAGAAGCCCCGGCUAACUUCGUGCCAGCAGCCGCGGUAAUACAAAGGGGGGUAGCGUUGUUCGGAAUUACUGUUUGUAAAGUCACCGUACGCUGAUCGUUAAAUGAGGGGAGAUAUCCCACGGGUCACUCCUGGAACUGCCUUUCUUUCUGGCAAUCUUGAUUUCGAUUGACCUGACCGGAAUUCCCAAUGUAUAAGUGAGUUCGUAUAUAUUCUGAGGACCAACACUGGUGAAAGCGGCUAACUGGCUCUAUACUGCCUCUGAGGUGCCAAUA
Molecule: ribosomal RNA, 648 nt
Filed under: Parahoeflea olei
Lineage: Bacteria; Pseudomonadati; Pseudomonadota; Alphaproteobacteria; Hyphomicrobiales; Rhizobiaceae
Description: bacterial SSU rRNA
Rfam family: Bacterial small subunit ribosomal RNA
Source: RNAcentral